RNAcentral lists this ribosomal RNA (474 nucleotides) under uncultured bacterium. RNAcentral describes it as "partial 16S ribosomal RNA". It matches the Rfam family "Bacterial small subunit ribosomal RNA", at positions 29 to 523 of the family's 1533-position model. The record is from RNAcentral.
AAUGAACGCUGGCGGCAGGCCUAACACAUGCAAGUCGAACGAGGUAGCAAUACCUAGUGGCGGACGGGUGAGUAACGCGUGGGAACGUGCCCCUUGGUACGGAAUAGCCCUGGGAAACUGGGAGUAAUACCGUAUGUGGUCGAGAGACGAAAGAUUUAUCGCCAAGGUAUCGGCCCGCGUUGGAUUAGUUAGUUGGUGGGGUAAAGGCUCACCAAGCCAACGAUCUGUAGCUGGUCUGAGAGGACGACCAGCCACACUGGAACUGAGACACGGUCCAGACUCCUACGGGAGGCAGCAGUGGGGAAUUUUGGACAAUGGGCGAAAGCCUGAUCCAGCCAUUCCGCGUGCAGGAUGAAGGCCCUCGGGUUGUAAACUGCUUUUGUACAGAACGAAAAGGUUUCUACUAAUACUAGGAGCUCAUGACGGUACUGUAAGAAUAAGCACCGGCUAACUACGUGCCAGCCGCCGCCGUAA